Paramuricea clavata is the source of this 73-nucleotide non-coding RNA. Lineage: Eukaryota; Metazoa; Cnidaria; Anthozoa; Malacalcyonacea; Plexauridae. The record is from the annotation of a GenBank genome assembly.
GAAUACGUAGCUCAGUUGGAAGAGCAUUGGGCUAGUAUUCCAAAGGUCGUAGGUUCGAAUCCCACCGUGGCCG